RNAcentral lists this ribosomal RNA (492 nucleotides) under uncultured bacterium. RNAcentral describes it as "partial 16S ribosomal RNA". It matches the Rfam family "Bacterial small subunit ribosomal RNA", at positions 29 to 507 of the family's 1533-position model. The record is from RNAcentral.
AGUGAACGCUGGCGGCAGGCCUAAUACAUGCAAGUCGAACGGCAGCACAGUAAGAGCUCGCCUCUACGGGUAGCGAGUGGCGGACGGGUGAGGCAUACAUAAGAAUCCACUAUUACGUGGGGGACAACGGAGGGACACAGACGCUAAUACCGCAUACGACCUACGGGAGAAAGCAAGAGAUCAACGCACUUUGCCUGAUUGAUAUAGAUGAUGCCGGAUUAGCUAGUUGGCGGGGUAAAGGCACACCAAGGCGACGAUCCGUAGCGGGUCUGAGAGGAUGAUCAGCCACACUGGAACUGAGACACGGUCCAGACUCCUACGGGAGGCAGCAGUGGGGAAUAUUGGACAAUGGGCGCAAGCCUGAUCCAGCCAUACCGCGUGGGUGAAGAAGGCCUUCGGGUUGUAAAGCCCUUUUGUUGGGAAAGAAAAGCAGCAGGUGAAUACCCCGCUGUUCUGACGGUACCCAAAGAAUAAGCACCGGCUAACUUCGUG